Molecule: ribosomal RNA, 691 nt
Filed under: uncultured crenarchaeote
Lineage: Archaea; Thermoproteati; Thermoproteota
Description: bacterial SSU rRNA
Rfam family: Archaeal small subunit ribosomal RNA
Source: RNAcentral
CGAGUCAUUGUAGCAAUACAGGCAUACGGCUCAGUAACGCGUAGUCCACCUAACCUAUGGACGGGAAUAACCUCGGGAAACUGAGAAUAAUGCCCGAUAGAACAUUAUGCCUGGAAUGGUUUAUGUUCCAAAUGAUUUAUCGCCGUAGGAUGGGACUGCGGCCUAUCAGUUUGUUGGUGAGGUAAUGGCCCACCAAGACUAUUACAGGUACGGGCUCUGAGAGGAGUAGCCCGGAGAUGGGUACUGAGACACGGACCCAGGCCCUAUGGGGCGCAGCAGGCGAGAAAACUUUGCAAUGUGCGAAAGCACGACAAGGUUAAUCCGAGUGGUUUCUGCUAAAGAAACCUUUUGUCAGUCCUAGAAACACUGAUGAAUAAGGGGUGGGCAAGUUCUGGUGUCAGCCGCCGCGGUAAAACCAGCACCUCAAGUGGUCAGGAUGAUUAUUGGGCCUAAAGCAUCCGUAGCCGGCUCUGUAAGUUUUCGGUUAAAUCUGUACGCUCAACGUACAGGCUGCCGGGAAUACUGCAGAGCUAGGGAGUGGGAGAGGUAGACGGUACUCGGUAGGAAGGGGUAAAAUCCUUUGAUCUAUUGAUGACCACCUGUGGCGAAGGCGGUCUACCAGAACACGUCCGACGGUGAGGGAUGAAAGCUGGGGGAGCAAACCGGAUUAGAUACCCGGGUAGUCCCAGCU